GGUGGAAUGNGCAGAUNUCAGGAGGAACACCAGUGGCGAAGGCGGUUNUCUGGGCCUUUCCNGACGNUGAGGAGCGAAAGCGUGGGGAGCGAACAGGCUUAGAUACCCUGGUAGUCCACGCUGUAAACGGUGGGUACUAGGUGUGGGGUCCAUUCCACGGGUUCCGUGCCGUAGCUAACGCUUUAAGUACCCCGCCUGGGGAGUACGGCCGCAAGGCUAAAACUCAAAGGAAUUGACGGGGCCCCGCACAAGCGGCGGAGCAUGCGGAUUAAUUCGAUGCAACGCGUAGAACCUUACCUGGGUUUGACAUGGAUCGGGAGUGCUCAGAGAUGGGUGUGCCUCUUUUGGGGUCGGUUCACAGGUGGUGCAUGGCUGUCGUCAGCUCGUGUCGUGAGAUGUUGGGUUAAGUCCCGCAACGAGCGCAACCCUUGUUCACUGUUGCCAGCACGUUAUGGUGGGGACUCAGUGGAGACCGCCGGGGUCAACUCGGAGGAAGGUGGGGAUGACGUCAAGUCAUCAUGCCCCUUAUGUCCAGGGCUUCACGCAUGCUACAAUGGCUGGUACAGAGAGUGGCGAGCCUGUGAGGGUGAGCGAAUCUCGGAAAGCCGGUCUCAGUUCGGAUUGGGGUCUGCAACUCGACCUCAUGAAGUCGGAGUCGCUAGUAAUCGCAGAUCAGCAACGCUGCGGUGAAUACGUUCCCGGGGCUUGUACACACCGCCCGUCAAGUCAUGAAAGUUGGUAACACCCGAAGCCGGUGGCCUAACCGUUGUGGGGGAGCCGUCGAAGGUGGGACUGGNAUUAGGACUAAGUC
This 811-nucleotide ribosomal RNA is filed under the name uncultured bacterium. RNAcentral's name for it is "bacterial SSU rRNA". It matches the Rfam family "Bacterial small subunit ribosomal RNA", at positions 680 to 1487 of the family's 1533-position model. The record is from RNAcentral.